GACGAACGCUGGCGGCGUGCUUAACACAUGCAAGUCAAACGGUAAGGCCCUUCGGGGUACACGAGUGGCGAACGGGUGAGUAACACGUGGGUGAUCUGCCCUGCACUUUGGGAUAAGCCUGGGAAACUGGGUCUAAUACCGAAUACACCUUGCUGGUCGCAUGGCCUGGUGGGGGAAAGCUUUUGCGGUGUGGGAUGGGCCCGCGGCCUAUCAGCUUGUUGGUGGGGUGAUGGCCUACCAAGGCGACGACGGGUAGCCGGCCUGAGAGGGUGUCCGGCCACACUGGGACUGAGAUACGGCCCAGACUCCUACGGGAGGCAGCAGUGGGGAAUAUUGCACAAUGGGCGCAAGCCUGAUGCAGCGACGCCGCGUGAGGGAUGACGGCCUUCGGGUUGUAAACCUCUUUCAAUAGGGACGAAGCGGAAGUGACGGUACCUAUAGAAGAAGCACCGGCCAACUACGUGCCAGCCGCCGCCGUAA
RNAcentral lists this ribosomal RNA (480 nucleotides) under uncultured bacterium. Its description in RNAcentral is "partial 16S ribosomal RNA". It matches the Rfam family "Bacterial small subunit ribosomal RNA", at positions 28 to 523 of the family's 1533-position model. The record is from RNAcentral.